Long non-coding RNA from Myotis davidii, 212 nucleotides. RefSeq lists it as uncharacterized. The transcript is spliced from 3 exons. NCBI's taxonomy places the organism in Eukaryota, Metazoa, Chordata, Mammalia, Chiroptera, Vespertilionidae. The record is from RefSeq and is a predicted model, not a curated record.
AGUCCUGUAAUUGUAGUUUUCUCACAUGUUUUUCGCAGGCUUAGUCCAUGAGUUUCAAGUGGUACUUCCCUGUCAACAUGGCAGGUGCCACAGAUAUUGUAGUAAAUGAAAUAAUUUGAGGUGGGUCCUAAUAGUGUUUUACAUGUGAAGUAUGGUACCUAUUUGCUUUGUUUAACAAUGGACAGUGUUAGGUCAGAGGGAGCCCAGGAUCA